Alosa alosa (allis shad) is the source of this 1282-nucleotide RNA transcript. It is a transcript of the gene named phospholipid scramblase 2-like, with no coding region annotated. The record is from RefSeq and is a predicted model, not a curated record. Lineage: Eukaryota; Metazoa; Chordata; Actinopteri; Clupeiformes; Clupeidae. The transcript has 10 exons.
CUAGAGUUUACAUUUGAAAAACAAAUGGACUCUAAAUAUGAUCAGAUGUUUCGAUAGAGAGCACGUGGGGAGAUAUUUCAGCAAUGGCUAAGAACCAAGUGCUAUGGUCUAAGAGGCAGACAGCAAAAGCAUCAUUAAAGCACAACUGUCAGCUGUUUCCAUCUGCAUGAAUCUUUAAUGAAGUCUGCUGUAACCCCAGACCAGCAGGGUGUGCCUGCAGGUAGUGCACCCUUCCCAUCUCAGCCCCCAGCUUACGCCAUCAACCUUCCACCUAGUGCUGUCUACCCUUCUCCUCCAUAUGGUCAAGUCCCAAUGCCACCAGGGUAUAUGCCAUUUCAAAUGCCAGUUCACAUGCCAUCUCCAGUGCACCCACAGUACCCUCCUCAGAUGCCAGUGGAAAUGCCAAUGCCUGCUCCUGGGAGACCACCAGACUGCCCACCAGGGUUAGAGUAUCUCAUUCAAAUUGACCAGCUUCUUGUUCACCAGCAGAUGGAGCUGAUGGAAGUGAUGAUGGGUUUUGAAACAAACAACAAGUACUUGGUGAAGAAUAGUCUGGGACAGCAGGUGUUUUUUGCUGCUGAGGAAAACGACUGCCUCACCCUGCAGUGCUGCGGGCCGAUGCGAUCAUUCGCCAUCCACAUUCAGGACAACAUGGGCCAGACUGUCAUGUCUGUGACAAGGCCUCUCAAAUGCAGCGCCUGCUGCUUCCCUUGCUGCCUCCAAGAGCUGGAAGUACAGUCUCCCCCAGGAAACCCUAUUGGAUAUGUCACACAGAAUUGGCACCCGUAUAUUCCCAAGUUCACCAUUCAGGAUGAGCAAAGAAAUUCUGUGCUGAGAAUUACUGGGCCUUUCUGUGACUGCAAGUGUUUCUCUGAUGUGAACUUUGAGGUAAAACACUGCUCAUCAGCAAGAUCAAAUCACUGGAUGAGACUUCAGUCGUUGGUCAUAUUUCUAAGCAGUGGUCUGGCUUUGGGAAUGAGAUGUAUACAGAUGCUGACAACUUUGGGGUGAAGUUUCCAAUGGAUAUGGAUGUGAAAAUGAAAGCCACCAUAUUGGGAGCUUGUUUUCUCAUAGACUUUAUGUUUUUUGAACAUUCAAAGCAGCAAGAUCAUCAUUAGAAUGGUACGUCAGUGAUGGGGAUAUUUUCAAAUUGGAGAUGCCGUUAUGUGCUAAUACUGCCACUUCUAUAAGGUCCUCUUUCCUUGGUUUAGUCUUGUAGUCAGCUACUCUGAAUGUCUCGGUCAUUGUGUUUUCAACCUGACAAUAAAAAGAAGCCAGCAGA